UCGAGGAUCUUUAGCAAUGCCCGAAAGGGUGACUAUGCGACGCCGCGUGGAGGAUGAAGGCCUUCGGGUCGUAAACUCCUGUCAGGGGGGAAGAAACCUCAUGUGUUAAUAGCAUGUGAGCUGACAUCACCCCCAAAGGAAGCCACGGCUAACUCUGUGCCAGCAGCCGCGGUAAGACAGAGGUGGCAAGCGUUGUUCGGAUUUAUUGGGUGUAAAGGGCAGGUAGGUGGCUAUGUAAGUCUGGUGUGAAAUCCCAGGGCUCAACCCUGGAACUGCAUUGGAAACUACAUGGCUUGAAUAUCGGAGAGGUAAGAGGAAUUCUCGGUGUAAGGGUGAAAUCUGUAGAUAUCGAGAGGAACACCAGAGGCGAAGGCGUCUUACUGGCCGAUUAUUGACACUGAGCUGCGAAAGCAAGGGGAGCAAACAGG
This 428-nucleotide ribosomal RNA is filed under the name uncultured bacterium. RNAcentral describes it as "bacterial SSU rRNA". It matches the Rfam family "Bacterial small subunit ribosomal RNA", at positions 355 to 776 of the family's 1533-position model. The record is from RNAcentral.